GGCCUUUCCACACGCUUGUCCCUGACCUGCCACAAAAUGUCCUGUUGAUGGAUCGCAUUCACAGAGUGGCAAAGCCCCAAUACCUACCUGCUGAUACGCCAAGAGAUAUCGUCUUGAAGAUGCAUUACUACCAUGCAAAGGAGGCGGUCCUGAGAGCGAGCCGCACACGAAAGGACAUACCUACAGAAUUUCAAAAGGUGGGAAUCUUCGCGGACAUCUCUGCUAUGACGCUGAGGAAGAGAAAGACUUUUGGCGCUAUCACCGCGGCUCUGAGAGACAGCAACAUCGCAUACAGGUGGGGAUACCCGACCAAGUUGCUGGUCCAACGCAACGGCACUCUUACAGCCAUCACAUCCCCAGAGGAAGGUCUCCUGAAG
Molecule: non-coding RNA, 377 nt
Organism: Pelobates cultripes (western spadefoot toad)
Lineage: Eukaryota; Metazoa; Chordata; Amphibia; Anura; Pelobatidae
Source: the annotation of a GenBank genome assembly